Molecule: ribosomal RNA, 252 nt
Filed under: uncultured bacterium
Lineage: Bacteria
Description: partial 16S ribosomal RNA
Rfam family: Bacterial small subunit ribosomal RNA
Source: RNAcentral
UACGUAGGUCCCAAGCGUUGUCCGGAUUUAUUGGGCGUAAAGCGAGCGCAGGCGGUUAGAUAAGUCUGAAGUUAAAGGCUGUGGCUUAACCAUAGUACGCUUUGGAAACUGUUUAACUUGAGUGCAAGAGGGGAGAGUGGAAUUCCAUGUGUAGCGGUGAAAUGCGUAGAUAUAUGGAGGAACACCGGUGGCGAAAGCGGCUCUCUGGCUUGUAACUGACGCUGAGGCUCGAAAGCGUGGGGAGCAAACAGG